AACCUUCUUCAAUCUACUAGCAACAACUUUAGAAACAAUUUUGCUCACCACCCCGAUCAAAUUAAUAGGCCGGUACUCUAUGCACAUUUAAUAUUAUGAAUUAGCAACACAAAGUUGCUUCACUGAGUUGUACACUUAGCUUUAGAGAGAUAUGCAUACACACACAUCAAGUGCACAGAGAGGAGAGAGAUGUAUAGUUCUCCCGUCGUCGGAAAACGACGGCCUUAAUCUCGCCAUUUCGAUUGCAUAGUCGGUGCAUGAUCUCGGAGAACCGUUCUGUUUAGCAUAAGAUCUAAGCCCUAAUUUUCUGAUGAAGAAAACGACCCAGCCAGUUACAUCACGCGGCGCCGCCAAGCGAUUUAGGGGUCCAGGACUGUAGGGUUGUAUUUGAAGAAAAUAUAUCUAAAGAAGGCUUACAAAAUUAAAUCUCUCAGGUACUUCCAGAGUAUUUAAUUUUAGUAUGGCGAUUAAUUAACACACUGAAGGAUUAUAGCAAAGUAUUUUGAGGAGAAGAAGACUGAUAUCCAAGCUAAAGUUCUUUAAAUCUAUGAGGCUUCAAGUGCUGACCUAAUAUUAAGUGUGCAUUUUAUCUUCUCCUAAAGAAGUAAGCGGAACAGACGAACUGCCAAUCUCAGAACAACAACAAAGCAAACUGAAAUCCAACCUAAAACUCCUACAGUGCCGUUAGGAAAACGAACUGUUCAAGCUGACAGUAUUCAUGGUCAACGUGUCAUUAUCAUAUCUGAUGUAACCGCAAGAUUGACAUACAAGAAUGUUCCCACAUGGCAUCGUGAUCUUUGUCGGUAUUUUGGAGGUCAAUAAAUGAAGGGUGCCGAGAGACGUGUCUUCUUCAACUAUGCGGUGGAAUGGAUGAAAAUGCUGUUGGGAUGUGUGUUGAACUUAUAUUCGCUCCCUUCGAUUCUUCUUUUGCUGAUGAUGCACCUCUUUUGCCUUCGGGCUUUCGGAUCAUUCCUCUUGAUUCUGGCAAGGAGAAAUCAAGUCCAAAUCGCACUCUCGAUCUUGCUUCUGCUUUAGAGAUACGAACAUCUAGGAAUAAGUUACGAGGUGAUCAUAACUCUGGCAGUGGGACCAUAAGAUCAGUGGUGACAUUUGCAUUUUGCAUUUCACAUUUGAGAAUCACAUGCAAGAAAAUGUAGCAUCAAUGGCUAAGCCAAUAUGUUUGAACCAUUAUCUCCUCAAUCAAUUCAGAGGGUGGCAUUGGCACUGGCUCCAUCUCACCUUAAUCCUAAUGGUGGUCUUAGUGCACCCAUGGGCACCACUGAAGCUCAUACCCUCGCUAGGUAGAUCUGCAAUAGCUACAGGUGUUACUUGGGCGUUAAGCUCCUUACUUGGGGAUGUGUUUUAUUGAGCAUGGGGAGUUCGGUUUCUUAUCAGCGAGCAUCUGCUACAUGUUUAUUAACUGGUCUUCAUAUGAAGAAGCUUCUGCUGCAUGUUUAUUAAACUGAUAUGAAAAAACUUUUGGAUACUAAUGUCUCUCAUUUUGCCUUGAUUUCAUUAAAACAAUAUUAGUCUCGAAACUAUUGGAUACAAAUGUCUCUUUGCCGCCCCCGCAACGCGGGGCGGGUAAAAAUUCUAGUUAAUUGUUACA
Long non-coding RNA from Helianthus annuus (common sunflower), 1609 nucleotides. RefSeq lists it as uncharacterized. The record is from RefSeq and is a predicted model, not a curated record. The transcript has 8 exons. NCBI's taxonomy places the organism in Eukaryota, Viridiplantae, Streptophyta, Magnoliopsida, Asterales, Asteraceae.